CGCCAAUGAGAUUUGGGAGGCCUUCUCGUUUGAUUGUCUCACUGGUACUCAUAUCUUGAUAGUGGAGCUGCCGGAAGCUGUUUAUACUGAUACCAAGAGGAAGUGUUUAUCCAGAAACUGAAGUUCCAACGAUUCGGCAUUGUUCCUGUGAAAUAUAAGAGCACUGAUUAGACUUCAACAGAAGCAUUCCGAGAUAGCAAGUCUUUUGUGGGUACAAAUUGGAUGUCAGGCAGCAACGAAAUGUGUGUGGUAGCACUGUUAUGAUGCUUAGGAAACAGAAGGCUGUCCAACAAAAGAAUUGCAAUGCUCAACUGUUUAGUACGUAGUACCAAUAAGUUCAUUCUGGAAGGCCUCUCGCAAAAAACAAAGUAUCAAAUUUUCAUUAACAAAGGGGAAAUCAAUACAUCUAUUUGCAUGCAGUGUAUUUUGCCACCACAAAGCUGUCAGUUAUCGAUAAUGGAUCUGGACUGGACGUCACACUGACACAUGGUUUGGGAAAUAAGAACAGAAUUUGGACCGGGGAUGUAAGGUCAGGUCACAGCUUUCUUUCAUCACCAUCAAAGUCAACUACCAAAAAAGUCUUCACACAAGAAAUCAUCAAGGUUAAAAAUGUGCUAUUAGAUGCUCUGUGAUAGCGUGCUGCGACACUUCUCUAGCAGAGUGUCUAGCGAAGUACUCGAGUGAGUUAUUGACUUCUCUAGCGGUGGCGUGAGGAGGCAACCUGACGAGGAGCUGCGAUGGCGAGAAGAGGAGGACCGGCAGCAGCAGCGGCAUGAGAAGAGUUGUGAAGUGGAGACGCCCUCGUAAAGCAGAUCAUAUGCGGAUGGCAUGGAUGUAUGGAUGGUUUAGAUGGCCAGCUAGAAGGGUUGACAAAGCUAGGGUUCCACAUGGGCCAGAUAUAUAUGCCCCUAUUCGAAACAUGGCAACAUGGGACAUCAUCUUCCCACACUCCACGAGCGACACUAUCCCAUCAGCACGGCCACAGAAUAUCUCCUCAUUGGUUUUCUGAAUACCUUUUCCCUCAAAAAAAAAACGUCUCUGAAUACUUUCCUGUUUCCUAGGCAAACAAGACAAACUACCUACACUAACCUCAGCAUAUUAGAUCCGAAGUUAGAGCUGCUAUCACUUAAAGCAUAUGAAUACUAGGUGCACUCAAAGGUUAUCAGAAAAACCAAAGUAUAAAGCUGAUUAAACCCAAGUACUACAAGGGAAGCCUUUUAAUCCCUGCAAGCUAGGUGAGCAACGUGCUGGUUAUCGGUUACUCUAGUUUCAAAAUUAAUAUACCUUGAAGAAACAUGAACUGUAAGUAGUUCCUUGACUUCAAUAUCCACACCUUCCAUCAAUAAAAAUGUGUAUCACCUUCAGUUACGAAUACAUGAAACAAAUUUCUUUUUUACCUCUCUAGCAUACCAUUAUCCUUAUUUCUCAAUAGUAUCUUAGGUAUUUAGCCUUCACAUGUGUAUAUUUGUCAAACUAGUAGACUUAAACGCAAACAUUCUUUUAAUUCUUGCUUUUAAGGAGGUCUAACAAAAGGCACACACUUUUAAUACAACUACAUUUUGACUAAAUUUGAACAGCAGACUAAGACCAUUUCUUGCCAGCCUAAUUUAUUAGGAAAGCACUGAAAAUGGUGAACGUCUUCGUGAUAAAAAAAGUAAACCGGCAUGCUAACAGACUGCUUAAAUACUGAAAGCUAACCUGAAAAUCCUUGAUGACAUCCAUAUAUUCAACAUAUCCAACAUAGCAAUAUGACCUUUUCGUCCACCUAUAUCACACGGCAU
This 1781-nucleotide long non-coding RNA is filed under the name Triticum aestivum (bread wheat). RNAcentral's name for it is "long non-coding RNA (TAES_LNC010210)". Lineage: Eukaryota; Viridiplantae; Streptophyta; Magnoliopsida; Poales; Poaceae. The record is from RNAcentral.